RNAcentral lists this ribosomal RNA (35 nucleotides) under Clostridioides difficile. RNAcentral describes it as "partial 23S ribosomal RNA". Lineage: Bacteria; Bacillati; Bacillota; Clostridia; Peptostreptococcales; Peptostreptococcaceae. The record is from RNAcentral.
GUUCUUAUCGGUGCAGGGCGGAUGCCUUGGCACUA